CAGUGUUUUAAAAGGCUCGCCUAGGUGUCCUCUGAGGUUGGGCGUCAGGGUUCCUGCCUUUGUUUUGAGGGAGUGGGCGGAAGGCUUCGCCGAAGACGCCAAGGCGACGGAGGCGCGCCUCAAGACGAUGCCGUUUGGUUAAGGAUUUUUAAUCUCCAAUCUCCAUACGGACCAUACCUCAUCUCUUUUCUUCAAUCGCGCCUUUGCCUUCUUCACUCCUCUCGCGUCGCCAGACCAAAACACACAGCAGCUCAGCCAUUGUCACCCCACCGACGUCACCUAGCAACAUCGCCGUCAGCAAGCGCCCACAAAUUCCCAAUUUUAAAGAAAUCCUUUUUUUGGUGCCUGUUGACUCUCUGUCGUAUGGCUACGGCUAGCUGAAGAACUUAGAGUCAACUUAUGAAUAUGACAAGAGCUUCCUUUCUCUCGAUAGCAUGUUGCACAAGCAUCAAACUCUGGGCACAUUUCACACACCCAUCUCUGAUCAAUCACAGCAUCCUUAUGGCACAGACUGCAUGUAUUCCCAGAAGUUAGCGCAGUAGCAUUAUGGAGAUGAUGCAGAAUCAUUUUUGAGGAAUACUUGGCCCGGCGAAGUGUGCCAAACUGAUAGUGUUUUUUCUCACACAAGCUCAAGAAACCUAUGCCUAUUCUCAAGUAAAUUGUUGUUCGAAAUAACAUCUUCGUCCUUAGUGUCA
This is a long non-coding RNA of Pyrus x bretschneideri (Chinese white pear), 695 nucleotides long. RefSeq lists it as uncharacterized. Lineage: Eukaryota; Viridiplantae; Streptophyta; Magnoliopsida; Rosales; Rosaceae. The record is from RefSeq and is a predicted model, not a curated record. The transcript has 2 exons.